RNAcentral lists this long non-coding RNA (1141 nucleotides) under Equus caballus (horse). Its description in RNAcentral is "lncRNA (ENSECAG00000050236.1)". Lineage: Eukaryota; Metazoa; Chordata; Mammalia; Perissodactyla; Equidae. The record is from RNAcentral.
GGGGAAGUACCAAACUCUAACCAUUGGUGGAGUAUGGGAACCCCUUCUUGGGAGAAUGGCUCCAGGAUGCAAUUGGGUAGAAUGUCCCCCAGACUGGCGGAAAAUUCCUCACUGUCUUUCUCUUUCUCACUGUCUUUGUCCUUUUCUCUCCUGGGGACCAUACGCCAGGCACCUAUUACUGUCAGGCAGAAUAGGGAAGAUGUUCAAGGGAUGCCCCCAUCAUCCCUUGCUACAGGAACUCCAUUGGGGGGAUUUUCAAGGUAAUGGCUCCCUUUCUCUGGGACCAUUCACCAGUCACCUAUUCCUGCCAGGCAGAAUAGGGAAGAUGUUCAAGGGAUGCCCCCAUCAUCCCUUGCUACAGGAACCCCAAUGGGGGGAUUUUCAAGGUAAUGGCUCCCUUUCUCUGGGACCAUUCACCAGGCACCUAUUCCUGCCAGGCAGAAUAGGGAAGAUGUUCAAGGGAUGCCCCCAUCAUCCCUUGCUACAGGAACCCCAUUGGGGGGAUUUUCAUGGUAAUGGCCCCUUUUCUUUCUCCUUUUCUCUCGGGAACCAUUCACCAGGCCUAUGCUGUCAGGCAGAAUAGGCACCAGGCAACUGUUACUGCCAGGCAUAACAGGGAAGGUAUACAAGGGAUGCAAUGCCGGGGGACGCCCCCAUCACCCCUUGCUAUAGGAACCCCACAGUAGGAACAACGGGUAGGACGCUACCCUAGGUUCAGGGGGGAUUUUUCAUGGUAAUGGACCCGUUUCUUUUGUCUCUCUUGGAGUUACAAUGGCAAUUUUCAUCUCCUUUUGAGCCUUGUGACUGGGAAACAAAGAAAUCUUUAAAGAGUAAAAGGCUCCACCCCUGGGAGCCCCAACUUUGGGUUUCUGGGCCUGAUCACCCCAGCAACCCUAAGUGGGGGUGCCCUCUCUUGACAGUCGACUCAUUGAGUAUUUUAGUCACCUGCUGAGUCGGUUAUGAGGGUAGGAGACCUGUGAUUUAUUCUGUGAACUGUCGUGCUAGCGUAGUGUGCCCCAGUACAGGAACUGUUGUGUGACUCUUAUCUUGAUAACCCUCUGGAAGAGGCCAUGAGGGUGAGGUCUGAUCUCUUCUUUUCCUUUCUUUGUCUGUUUUGCUCAUCAUCUCUUCUGUUGUCACU